RNAcentral lists this ribosomal RNA (513 nucleotides) under uncultured Diversisporaceae. RNAcentral describes it as "bacterial SSU rRNA". It matches the Rfam family "Eukaryotic small subunit ribosomal RNA", at positions 569 to 1078 of the family's 1831-position model. The record is from RNAcentral. Lineage: Eukaryota; Fungi; Glomeromycota; Glomeromycetes; Diversisporales.
AGCAGCCGCGGUAAUUCCAGCUCCAAUAGCGUAUAUUAAAGUUGUUGCAGUUAAAAAGCUCGUAGUUGAAUUUCGGGAUUCGUCCAUUGGUCAGGCUUAACUGUCUGUACUGGUGUGUCGGAUUUCUACCUUCUGAAGAACCUUCAUGCCAUUAAUUUGGUGUGUUUGGGGAAUCAGGACUGUUACUUUGAAAAAAUUAGAGUGUUUAAAGCAGGCUAACGUCUGAAUACAUUAGCAUGGAAUAAUGAAAUAGGACGGUACGGUUCUAUUUUGUUGGUUUCUAGGAUCGCCGUAAUGAUUAAUAGGGAUAGUUGGGGGCAUUAGUAUUCAAUUGUCAGAGGUGAAAUUCUUGGAUUUAUUGAAGACUAACUACUGCGAAAGCAUUUGCCAAGGAUGUUUUCAUUAAUCAAGAACGAAAGUUAGGGGAUCGAAGACGAUCAGAUACCGUCGUAGUCCUAACCAUAAACUAUGCCGACUAGGGAUUGGACGAUGUUAAUUUUUUAAUUGUACUCG